CCUACGGGUUGCAGCAGUGGGGAAUAUUGCACAAUGGGCGCAAGCCUGAUGAAGCCAUGCCGCGUGUGUGAAGAAGGCCUUCGGGUUGUAAAGCACUUUCAGUGGGGAGGAAGGCACUAAGGUUAAUAACCUUAGCGAUUGACGUUACCCGCAGAAGAAGCACCGGCUAACUCCGUGCCAGCAGCCGCGGUAAUACGGAGGGUGCAAGCGUUAAUCGGAAUUACUGGGCGUAAAGCGCACGCAGGCGGUCUGUCAAGUCGGAUGUGAAAUCCCCGGGCUCAACCUGGGAACUGCAUUCGAAACUGGCAGGCUAGAGUCUUGUAGAGGGGGGUAGAAUUCCAGGUGUAGCGGUGAAAUGCGUAGAGAUCUGGAGGAAUACCGGUGGCGAAGGCGGCCCCCUGGACAAAGACUGACGCUCAGACGCGAAAGCGUGGGGAGCAAACAGGAUUAGAUACCCGCGUAGUC
Molecule: ribosomal RNA, 465 nt
Filed under: uncultured bacterium
Lineage: Bacteria
Description: bacterial SSU rRNA
Rfam family: Bacterial small subunit ribosomal RNA
Source: RNAcentral